GUGGCUCCUCUAGGUGAGCAGCCCUCAGUGCGCAUCUCCCUGAAGUCCACAUUGAUCCGGCAGAGCUGUGGGGUUCACAGCUCACACUGAGGCAUUCAGGGCCUAAACCCCACUUUACUCUUUUGUACAAUGAAUGGGAAAUCAGUGAUCUAAAUGAGUUUAAAUCUUAUUAGGGAUUCAGACUGCCCUUCAGACUCUGUCUCUAUUCCUCCCAGAGCUGGGUUCAACAUGAAUUCAAAUAGAAAUAUGAGACAAUGAAUUAUGGUAGUGACAAAGACCUUCCUUCGAAUUCCGGAUUUUUCUAGCAGCCCCUUUCUUUCUGCUUCCCACCUGCCUUCAACUCUUUCUCCUAAAAAAGUUCAGUUGGGGUGAACGUUUGAUGACUUAGAACAUCAUUAUUUUAACGUGAUCCCAAAGCGGUUUUCAUUAUAUGCAAAGCUGCAUAUUUAUUCACAUUUUAAAAAAUGUUCUAAAUUGGUUUCUUAUGUCCAAAAGAAGGGGAGCUAGUUAUAAGAAAAGAGAACUGAGUAACAUAAGAAAGUGCUAAUCAUUUCAAAUUAAAGUGGGAAACAUGCAAAGCAGAAAGAAUGAAUUUCAUAAACUCAACAAAUUAUUAACAUAAAUAAUUCCAAACUCUUGUAUCUAUAUAACAUCAGUGAUCUGUGAGGUGAAAUGAGAUUCUGAAGAAAAAGUAAAUAAUAAGGCCAUUUUUCUAAGCCAAAAAAGUUUUUGUCAUUAGUUGUGGAAUUUCACCAAUUAAUUUUUUUUCAAAUAAAACUUUCUUAAACUUUUACUGCCUACUAUUGCUUGUAGGUUAGUAAACCCUAGCAGAAAACAAAAUCAUUAAGGAAAUGGAAAACAAACAUUAAUGGGAAAUUUAUGUAAUCUUAAUUCUUAACGUGUCUUAUGAGUUAAUUUUUAAAAUGUGAAGGUUUAUUCUUGGUGUUUGGUAAUUAAGUUUAUUAAUCUCUCACAAAUAUGAGGAAUUUUAUUCCCUAAAGGAACGUGAGGAACACGAGUAGUUCAAGAAAAUGCUGAAGAUGCGCUUGGCUGGGAAGCUAGGAUAGGCUGACGAAGUCAGACUUAGUGUGGGAACCUGGUAAGCAGUGGAUCGAUGUUAGCUGUUUUCACUUAUUGCACUAGUAUAAUCAGUUUGAUGGUACAUACUUCAGCCCCAGCUGUUACUUAAGACCUGGUUUCACAUUUUAUGUUCUUUUUCUGUGCAGGCUGGGAAAGGGUUUCUUCUGUCCAUAAAAGCUACUCCAAUGGCUGUGGGAGACUUAAUUCCAAUUCCAGGUGAUACAGCCGUCAGUCUCCCACUAGCUGUAGGAUGGUGUGCUGCAGUUCACAGGUGUGGAUGCUCAAGUGGGCUUUCAAAGAUGUCAUGAGAGGGAGGGGUAAUGUAUUAGGCACAUUUUCCAAAUAUAGGCAUUUCAUUGUACAAGACCCCAAAUGUGAGAGGGUGUUUGUUUCAGUGUUUUAUAGAGUUCCUAAUAUGCCAUCAUAUAUACAUUCAGUUGUUUUCAAAAUACAGUUUAGUAUUUGGCUACUCACAAAGUAAUAAAACAUUUAAAUCACUUAACCAUACAAUUCUUGAUAACCAAAAGGCUUUUCUUUCUAUUCAGUAGUUUAACAUUCAGCUUUCUUUUUUAGGGCAAAGGAGAUAGAAGUGGAUGAAAUGACAGAGUAUUUUUUUAAUUGAACUCUGAUUAAUGCCAAAAGUGUUCAAUCACUAUGUGUGGGGAAGUUUCCUGGUACAAAGGAAAAAAAAACAGGUUGUUCAUACACUUGGCUGUGUUAGUAAGUGGUAAACAGAAUUAAACUUUUCUUAUGUGAACUCACACAUAUGUGCUUCAUAAUAUGUCACUCCUAUUUAACAUCUCUUUCACACACACAGUCAUCCCCCCCACACAUACCCUUUUGCUAGUCUUCUUCCAUUUUGCUUAUUAACCCAAAGAAAGAAAAAAAUAUGGAAGCCUUCUUGCAUAGGUUGCGUUAAUCAGAUGAAUUAUUGAAGCCACUCUGUCUAAAUAUUAUUUUCCCUUAUUUUUCCUUCAUUAGUUUCCCAUUCUGUUGUAUUUAUUUAAUUUUUAUUUCAUUUUCCAGACCUAAGUCAAUGUUAGUCUACCACUGUACGUCUGGUAACCUCAAUCCCUGCAACCGGAGCAAAAUGUGAUUCCAGGUCUUGGCAACCUCUGAAAUUCCAACUCCAUUUGCGAGAGCUUUGAGGAGGCCAUAUGCUGAUUUCACCACAAGCAACUUCACAACCCAGUACUGGAAUGCCAUCAGCCAGCAGGCCCCUGCCAUUAUCUGUGACUUCUAUCUGUGGCUCAUUGGAAGGAAACCCAGCUACCGAAGGAAGAUACCCUCAUCAACCCAAUUUUACAAAUGGAGAAAUAGAAGCUCAGGGAAGAAUCUGAAGUAGUCUCAAAGGAAGUGACAGGAAGGAUGUGGAGAAAGCUGAGUGUCAAAGUCAGUAUUCAAGACCGGAUUUACUGCUACUUAGAGAUGAAUGAAGAAAUCAGAGGGAACGCAGUGUGCUGAUGCUAAAGCGGCUGUCACCACCCAGCUGUGUGACAUAGGACAUCUUCUUUCUCUGUCUCACUUGACUAAUAUGUUGUGUCAGGGGAGACAUGAUUGUAAUUGCCUAAAGCAAUUCUUGUGAUCAAGAAUCAGAAGCAUGAACAGUAUUGCCCUCUGUGUUAGCCCCUUUAUAAGGGAGGAAGUCAUCUUCAGCAUGCUGAAUUGUCAUCUUUCUUAGCAGUGCAAAUGACUAAAACUUAGCCAAUGUAGAGUUUGUCCAAAUUUGGAGCUCAUAACUCAGUUCUUGAGCAAAGUGAAAAGAAAACAUUGUGAUUAUGGGGAAAAUAUUUGUACGGGACUUAUCAAAUAAAGAUAGGAAAAGAAGAAAACUCAAAUAUUAUAGGCAGAAAUGCUAAAGGUUUUAAAAUAUGUCAGGAUUGGAAGAAGGCAUGGAUAAAGAACAAAGUUCAGUUAGGAAAGAGAAACACAGAAGGAAGAGACACAAUAAAAGUCAUUAUGUAUUCUGUGAGAAGUCAGACAGUAAGAUUUGUGGGAAAUGGGUUGGUUUGUUGUAUGGUAUGUAUUUUAGCAAUAAUCUUUAUGGCAGAGAAAGCUAAAAUCCUUUAGCUUGCGUGAAUGAUCACUUGCUGAAUUCCUCAAGGUAGGCAUGAUGAAGGAGGGUUUAGAGGAGACACAGACACAAUGAACUGACCUAGAUAGAAAGCCUUAGUAUACUCAGCUAGGAAUAGUGAUUCUGAGGGCACACUGUGACAUGAUUAUGUCAUUACAUGUAUGGUAGUGAUGGGGAUGAUAGAAGGAAGAACUUAUGGCAUAUUUUCACCCCCACAAAAAUCAGUUAAAUAUUGGGACACUAACCAUCCAGGUCAAGAAAAGUCACAUGCCAUAGCCAUGGUAUUGCACAUCAUUCAUCUUGCAUUCUUUGAGAAUAAGAAGAUCAGUAAAUAGUUCAGAAGUGGGAAGCUUUGUCCAGGCCUGUGUGUGAACCCAAUGUUUUGUUUAGAAAUAGAACAAGUAAGUUCAUUGCUAUAGCAUAACACAAAAUUUGCAUAAGUGGUGGUCAGCAAAUCCUUGAAUGCUGCUUAAUGUGAGAGGUUGGUAAAAUCCUUUGUGCAACACUCUAACUCCCUGAAUGUUUUGCUGUGCUGGGACCUGUGCAUGCCAGACAAGGCCAAGCUGGCUGAAAGAGCAACCAGCCACCUCUGCAAUCUGCCACCUCCUGCUGGCAGGAUUUGUUUUUGCAUCCUGUGAAGAGCCAAGGAGGCACCAGGGCAUAAGUCUACUCACUUAUAUCUGUUUGUCUGGAACAUAACCCAUGUUUGUUUUUACAACAAAUAAAAUUGAUCUUGAAUAAAAA
Molecule: long non-coding RNA, 3898 nt
Filed under: Homo sapiens (human)
Lineage: Eukaryota; Metazoa; Chordata; Mammalia; Primates; Hominidae
Description: PREDICTED lncRNA (TCONS_00161391)
Source: RNAcentral